CGUGCCAGCAGCCGCGGUAAUACGUAGGGCGCAAGCGUUGUCCGGAAUUAUUGGGCGUAAAGAGCUCGUAGGCGGUUUGUCGCGUCUGCUGUGAAAGCCCGGGGCUCAACCCCGGGUCUGCAGUGGGUACGGGCAGACUAGAGUGCAGUAGGGGAGACUGGAAUUCCUGGUGUAGCGGUGAAAUGCGCAGAUAUCAGGAGGAACACCGAUGGCGAAGGCAGGUCUCUGGGCUGUUACUGACGCUGAGGAGCGAAAGCAUGGGGAGCGAACAGGAUUAGAUACCCUGGUAGUCCAUGCCGUAAACGUUGGGCACUAGGUGUGGGGGACAUUCCACGUUCUCCGCGCCGUAGCUAACGCAUUAAGUGCCCCGCCUGGGGAGUACGGCCGCAAGGCUAAAACUCAAAGGAAUUGACGGGGGCCCGCACAAGCGGCGGAGCAUGCGGAUUAAUUCGAUGCAACGCGAAGAACCUUACCAAGGCUUGACAUUCACCGGACUACCUCAGAGAUGGGGUUUCCCUUCGGGGUCGGUGGACAGGUGGUGCAUGGUUGUCAUCAGCUCGUGUCGUGAGAUG
RNAcentral lists this ribosomal RNA (572 nucleotides) under Kocuria rosea. RNAcentral's name for it is "bacterial SSU rRNA". It matches the Rfam family "Bacterial small subunit ribosomal RNA", at positions 504 to 1074 of the family's 1533-position model. The record is from RNAcentral. Lineage: Bacteria; Bacillati; Actinomycetota; Actinomycetes; Micrococcales; Micrococcaceae.